UUAUUAUUAUUAUCAUCAUAUUUAUUAUAGGGGCUCUUGCAUGUAUAGCACAUUUAAUUUAAUAAAUUAGCAAAUUAAAGCCCAACCCACGUUUAAAAUUUAUAAAAUUACAAAAUUACCCAAUAUAAUCCCCUUCUCAUGCAAUUUCCCUUCCCGUGCUCCCUUCCGUGGAAUUUCCCUUUCAUCCCCAAAAUUUAGGGUUUCGCUUCAAAUCGGACGAAAAAAAACUUCAAUCGGACGAAGAAGAAAACGAACAGACUUCAGACGAACUUGUUAUUUUCUUUCUCCCCUUCACGUUUAACAAACUUCGGACAACAUCUUGUUGAUACACUUGAGAACUUCAGUCGAAAAAUGUCGAAAAAUGGCAAGGGAAAAGAUUGAAAAAGUUAAAACGAGAAAAAGAAAAAUAAAUUUUGAGAAGGGUGAAGAAAGUUCAAAGAGUAGAAAAGGACAAAGAAAGAAUAAAUGAUCAUUGAAGAAAGAGGUUAAUGCUGAAGAGAACCUUGCAAACAAAGUUCAUUACUAUUCAAAGUUGACAAUAAUAGAGUCAAUUGUCAAAAAGUUGUCCAAAGAGCAAAUGCAAAUGUUUAGGAAGAGUCUAUUUGUGCACCUUCUUGAUAUUCAAAUCAAAAAGUGUCCUGGAUAAUUGUUAGUUCAUUUGAUUAGAAGACUGUCUAAGCAAUCAACUGACAACACUUUGAUUUUCAAUCUAGAGGGUAAUAUAGUAAAAUUUGGAUUGAGAGAAUUUCAUUUAAUAAGCGGAUUGAAUUGUCAACCAUUCCCACAAUCCACAACUUCAAAUAUCAAGGAGGAAUUCAAUAGUGAAUUGAGAACCGCCUGCUUUAGUAAUAUUGAUAUAUUAGACAGAAACAAAAUUAUUGCAGCCUUUAGUAUAGCACAACUUAGUGACCAACUCAUGGUUAAAUUAGCAAAUCUUCUUAUUUUAGACUGUUUCAUCAACUGCAAACAACUUCAUAAUGUAGUAGAUUGGAAACACCUUAAAAUGAUAGAUGAUGAGGAAACUUUGCUAAACUUUCCAUAGGGUAGAUUGUCUUUUAACCUAACUGUUGGAUAUAUGAGAAAAGCUGCAGAAGACUUGACCGUCAAUUUCUCACUACAAGGAUUUCCACACAUUUUAGUUUGUUGGGCACUAGAAAUCAUCCCAAAGCUUUCUGAAAGUCCAAAUGGGAUAGCCACAAGAAUUGGACAUCGAAGCCCAAGAAUCAUAAAUUGGAAAUUAGAACAGCAACCUCUGUUUGGACAUAUCUGCAACGGAAUUACUUCAAGUCAAGUGAUGUAAAUUCUUUUUCUUCUACAACCUAAUCAGUUAUAUACUACAUUUUUACAGUUAUCCCUUUCACUCUAACUAGCGAUGAACUAAUCUCUCCAAACUUUCAAUUCUUCCUAAAUGACGCACCAAAUGAAGUUGAGAAAGAACGAACUGAAGAAACAGAAGAUGAGAAUGACAAAGGUGAUGAGGAAGAAACUGUAAAUGAUGAGACAAAAAAAUCGUUGAGAAAAGAAAUUCAAGAAGUGAAGAAGGACUUGGAAAGCUUGAAGAAUACCGUAGAAAAUGGAAAAAAUGAAGUAUUGGAAUUGUUAAAUAAUAUAAUCACCAUAAUCAAUGAAAGAAUGCCAACAAAAAAACAAUCACAAGGAUCGUACCAUGAAAAUCAUGCUCCAACUUUAAGUUUGCAACGUCUUGAGGAAAGAAUGAAUAUUCAUAACUUGGAUGAUGCAGAGAUUAAUGAAGAAGAAAUUGAACAAGAAUAGAAUGCAGAAGAACUGGAGCAAGCAAUCAAGAAUAUUGAUAAGUUCAUCAACAAUAAUCAAGAAGAUGCCAAAAAAAAUGAGGAAGAAAUAGAGAAUCAAGAAGUUAAUGCAGAAGAUCAACCAAUGAAUCCAGAAAAUGAAGACAAAAAUAAUGAAAAAGACAAUGAAGAAAAACAAAUGAAUGAAGUUUCAAAAGAAGCACAUCACCCAACCAUUGGAGAAUCUGAAGAACAGUCAAAUGAAAGAGAGUUAGAUGGAAAGGAGUUAAUGGAAACAAGCCUCAAAUUAGUUGAAGACAUCCUUGAAAUUCAAGAGGUUAUAACUUUUCUAAACUUAAGUUUAUUGACUGAUACACCUUAUUAUUCUACGUAUAUAAACUUGCUGAUACAUGUUGAUUUAUUAUUAUACAUUGGAUUUGGGUGAUAACACAAGAAAAACACCAACAAAAUGAAGAAGGGAGGACAAAGGGAAAGAACGAUAAAGGCAAACAAGUGGCUACUCAAAAUAGAGUACUUACAAGGAAAGCUUCACAACUUGCUGCCAAUGAUGAAAAGUGUAAAGUGCAACAUGUGCAACAUGAGCGACCGAAAAGGAAAUUGAAACCCACACCAAAAGAUAUUGAUUUGGAAUUGGCCCAAAAGCAUAAAUCUCCCAAAAAGGGAAAAAAGUCAAAUGUUGCAUUUGAACCACCAAGUUUUGAUUUGCUACCUUGAUAAACUUUUCUUUUGGACACUUUUGAAUAUGUUUUCACAUGUGAUAUACUUUAUCUCAAA
Long non-coding RNA from Cucumis melo (muskmelon), 2546 nucleotides. RefSeq lists it as uncharacterized. The transcript has 10 exons. The record is from RefSeq and is a predicted model, not a curated record. Lineage: Eukaryota; Viridiplantae; Streptophyta; Magnoliopsida; Cucurbitales; Cucurbitaceae.